Molecule: ribosomal RNA, 1393 nt
Filed under: uncultured bacterium
Lineage: Bacteria
Description: 16S ribosomal RNA
Rfam family: Bacterial small subunit ribosomal RNA
Source: RNAcentral
GGCAGGCUUAACACAUGCAAGUCGAGGGGCAUCGGGAGGAAAGCUUGCUUUCCUUGCCGGCGACCGGCGCACGGGUGAGUAACACGUAUGCAACCUGCCCUCUUCAGGGGGACAACCUUCCGAAAGGGAGGCUAAUCCCGCGUAUAUCGGUUUCGGGCAUCCGAGAUCGAGGAAAGAUUCAUCGGAAGAGGAUGGGCAUGCGGCGCAUUAGCUAGACGGCGGGGUAACGGCCCACCGUGGCGACGAUGCGUAGGGGUUCUGAGAGGAAGGUCCCCCACACUGGUACUGAGACACGGACCAGACUCCUACGGGAGGCAGCAGUGAGGAAUAUUGGUCAAUGGGAGAGAUCCUGAACCAGCCAAGCCGCGUGAGGGAAGACGGCCCUAUGGGUUGUAAACCUCUUUUGUCGGAGAACAAAACCCGGGACGUGUCCCGGACUGCGUGUAUCCGAAGAAAAAGCAUCGGCUAACUCCGUGCCAGCAGCCGCGGUAAUACGGAGGAUGCGAGCGUUAUCCGGAUUUAUUGGGUUUAAAGGGUGCGUAGGCGGUCCGUUAAGUCAGCGGUAAAAUUGCGGGGCUCAACCCCGUCGAGCCGCUGAAACUGGCAGACUUGAGUUGGCGAGAAGUACGCGGAAUGCGCGGUGUAGCGGUGAAAUGCAUAGAUAUCGCGCAGAACUCCGAUUGCGAAGGCAGCGUACCGGCGCCAGACUGACGCUGAGGCACGAAAGCGUGGGGAUCGAACAGGAUUAGAUACCCUGGUAGUCCACGCAGUAAACGAUGAAUGCUGGGUGUCCGGGUCGAAUGAGACCUGGGCGGCGAAGCGAAAGCGAUAAGCAUUCCACCUGGGGAGUACGCCGGCAACGGUGAAACUCAAAGGAAUUGACGGGGGCCCGCACAAGCGGAGGAACAUGUGGUUUAAUUCGAUGAUACGCGAGGAACCUUACCCGGGCUCAAACGGGAGUGGAAUGGACCAGAGACAGUUCAGCCUACGGGCCGCUUCCGAGGUGCUGCAUGGUUGUCGUCAGCUCGUGCCGUGAGGUGUCGGCUUAAGUGCCAUAACGAGCGCAACCCCCGCCGGCAGUUGCUAACGGGCAAUGCCGAGGACUCUGCCGGGACUGCCGCCGCAAGGCGUGAGGAAGGCGGGGAUGACGUCAAAUCAGCACGGCCCUUACGUCCGGGGCGACACACGUGUUACAAUGGGCGGUACAGCGGGAAGCCAGGCGGCGACGCCGAGCGGAACCCGAAAGCCGUUCUCAGUUCGGAUCGGAGUCUGCAACCCGACUCCGUGAAGCUGGAUUCGCUAGUAAUCGCGCAUCAGCCAUGGCGCGGUGAAUACGUUCCCGGGCCUUGUACACACCGCCCGUCAAGCCAUGGGAGCCGGGGGUGCUUGAAGU